AACGUAACGAGCUGAAGCAACUUUACUUUUUUUUCACUUUUCCAAAGUAACGUCCCCAGCUCUGAUCCGGGCCCCUGCACUUGGGUUGGGAAAGCUGAGGAUGCCCGGGGGGAGCCGCGGCCGCUCGGAGCGGCUUUCCCUCCGACCGGGCGCUGCAGCGUCUAAGCGGACCCUAAAGCGCCUGCCGUCUGAGGCCAGCCCAGCCUAACCAGCCAGCCAGCCAGCUUGCCUGCCUGCCUCUGCGCGCCCUGCUGGGACUCACAUCCGGGGUUGGGUUGGGCUAAGGGAGAAACGUAACGAACCCGGAAAAAAAAAAAAGAAAAGAGGGAGCGAGCGGAGCGCUGCGCGCAGCGAGCUUGGCGCGGUCUCCAUCCCGCAGCAGCCCCGAGGGCGAUGUUCCAGGCCAGCCGCCGGACCACCCUUCGCCACCGGCCCGAGGAGAGGCCGCGAGGGG
This 454-nucleotide long non-coding RNA is filed under the name Pogona vitticeps (central bearded dragon). RNAcentral's name for it is "lncRNA (ENSPVIG00000020178.1)". The record is from RNAcentral. Lineage: Eukaryota; Metazoa; Chordata; Lepidosauria; Squamata; Agamidae.